Molecule: long non-coding RNA, 551 nt
Filed under: Setaria italica (foxtail millet)
Lineage: Eukaryota; Viridiplantae; Streptophyta; Magnoliopsida; Poales; Poaceae
Description: long non-coding RNA (SITA_LNC006017)
Source: RNAcentral
UUAGCAUCAAACAUCCGAUAUGACGGGUGCUAAAGUUUAGCAGGACAUCCAAACAAACAGCCUAGGACGUCCGACGACCUAGGACUAUCCAGGUACGUCCGACGACAUACUGACAAAGAUCGAGUGCCAUACGGAGGCAUAUUCUACUGUAGUACUGUACGUAUGUCUGAGAAAUGUUGCCGUCACAUUUUUCAGAAAGAAAAAUAAAAUUGUCGCCGUCAGAGAGAGAAGAAGGCCAUCCAAAGACUUCUACUUUCGCAUGCGUGCAGCCCCUCCGAAUGUCGCUCCGAGUUCCUUGCACGAUACGAGUUCGUCGUUCACUUUGCCGGCCUCGCGCCGUCCAUGCAGAAUCAUCUCCAGACUCCAGCGCGCGGUUGGUGAAACUCCACUACUUUGUUCAUUCCUUGUCUAGGCUAUAGCACGGAUCAUAACGGCGCUAGAUCUUCUCCAACGCGUCUUCCCCGGAUUCGACGACUUUGUUCUUCCAUGACGUGAAUAACCCGCCUCCAGCCCGGUUCAGGCGGCAAAGAAUAUAAUGGCGCUUCGCCGGA